AACCAGUGGGACAGCAGGAGCAACACUGAGGACUUCCAACCUAUGUCAAAAAGGCAAGGCAGUUGCCUUGUUUGCAAUUUAGCAAGACCCUGUCUCAAAAUAAAAAAACAAAAACAUGUUAGCUCUGAACUAUCAUGGAAGAAGUCUCACUACCCUGAGGCCACCAUGGUCCAGGUCACACCAAGAAGCCACUGAUGGGACGCACCAGGAUGUGGCUGCCCAGGGACUUUGAACAUGUCGGGGAUCACCCUCAGCAGACUCGCCCAGGAGAGAAAAGCUUGGAGGAGGGACCAUCCCUUUUGCUUGUGGUUGUCCCAAGUAAGAACCUAGACAGCACGAUGAACCUGAUGAAUUGGGAAUGUGCCAUCCCAGGAAAGAAGGGGACUCGUGGGAAGGAGGCUUGUUCAAGCUGUGGAUGCUCUUCAAAGAUGAUCAUCCAUCCUCACCACCGAAAUGUAAAUUUGAGCCACCACGAUUUCACCUGAAUGUGUGUCCUUCUGGUACGGUGUGUCUGUCCAUCCUGGAAGAGGACAAGGACUGGAGGCCAGCCAUCACGAUCAAGUAGAUCGUAUUAGGAAUACAGGAACUUCUAAAUGAACCAAAUAUGCAAGACCCCACUCAAGCAGAGGCCUACAUGAUUUACUGUGUAAAAACAGAGUGGAAUAUGAGAAAAGUGUUCAAGCAAGAAGUUUGCACCUUCGUAGACAGCAACCCUGUGGCACUGCAAAAGUGGCACACAGAAGUGACAGACAAAGCAUAGAUUUAUUGAAGGAGAAAAUACUCUAUAAAGCAGAGGAGAGAAGACAGGGACAGAAAGGAAGAGAGGGAG
Molecule: long non-coding RNA, 829 nt
Filed under: Marmota monax (woodchuck)
Lineage: Eukaryota; Metazoa; Chordata; Mammalia; Rodentia; Sciuridae
Source: RNAcentral